RNAcentral lists this ribosomal RNA (370 nucleotides) under Candovia annulata. RNAcentral's name for it is "partial small subunit ribosomal RNA". The record is from RNAcentral. Lineage: Eukaryota; Metazoa; Arthropoda; Insecta; Phasmatodea; Lonchodidae.
GUUAUACAAUUAAUAUUAAUUAAUAAUUUUGGUUUUGGAGUUAAAAUUAUUUGUUUUGAAUUUAAUUUUUUUGUUUUUAGGUAAAAUUUAAAUUUUAAUUAAUUUUUUUUUGAUUCUUUGAAGCAUAUAAUAUAGACUAGGAUUAGAUACCCUAUUAUAAUAUGUUUAAAUUUUUAACUUGGGUAGUAUUAGUUAUGUUCUUUAAACCUAAAGAAUUUGGCGGUGUUUUAGUCUAUUUAGAGGAAUUUGCUCUUUAAUCGAUAGUCCUCGUUUUAUCUUACUUAAUUUUGUUAAUCAGUAUGUAUACCGCCGUUAUAAGUUUAUUUUAUUAGAAUAAAAAUUUACUUAAUUCUUUUUUAUGAAUUAUUUC